Lepisosteus oculatus (spotted gar) is the source of this 2061-nucleotide non-coding RNA. Lineage: Eukaryota; Metazoa; Chordata; Actinopteri; Semionotiformes; Lepisosteidae. The record is from the annotation of a RefSeq genome assembly.
ACUCAGCCUCAAACACAAUGCAGGUUCUCCUGUGUUUAACGGUUCUGGUUCUGAGUGUACAGGAACUGCACUGUGUCCAGUUAACACAGUCGGCAUCGGAAAUCGGAAAGCCAGGACAGUCCCUACGGUUGUCCUGCCAGGUGUCUGGAUACUCCCUGACCGAUAACAGCUAUGCUACACACUGGAUCCGACAGCCCCCUGGGAAGGGUCUGGAAUGGCUGGGACACUAUUAUACUUCUGGAAACAGCUACGCGCCCUCAGUCCAGGGCCGGUUCACCAUCAGUACAGACUCCGGGAGCACAGUCUACUUAGAGAUGACAAGCCUGAAAGCUGAAGACAGUGGCGUCUAUUACUGUGCCCGAGACAACCGCUUCGAUUACUGGGGAUCCGGGACAGCGGUCACCGUCACCUCCGGUUCACCGACUAAGCCAACCCUGUUCCCUCUGGUGGCCUCAUGCGGCUCUGGAACGAGUGGAGGUGUGGUUUCUGUGGGCUGCUUGGCCACAGGGUUCCUGCCCGAUUCCCUGACCUUCAAGUGGACCGACAGUACCAACAAAGAGCUGACCCCCUUCGAGAAAUACCCGUCCGUGCUCAGUGGGGGGACCUACUCCUCGACCAGCAUGGUGUCCUUGUCCACCUCCGACUGGAACUCAGGAAAAUCCUUCUACUGUGAGGCAAAACAUCCUCAGGGUGACGUGAAGACUGAUCCAAUCAAGAAAAUUGAUCCACCCAAGAUACAAGCACCCUGUCUGCAGGUAAACCUGAAGGAUGCAGACCAGAAAGAAUUGUUCAUUUCCAACAGAGCUGUGCUGUCCUGCGAGGUAGAAGGUGAUAAUCUGAUAGGUGCACAGGUGUCCUGGACAGAAGGGGGAAAACCUGCCACAGGCCAGUUAAAUCUUACUCAAACAAGAGCUGUCAGCAACUUAACAAUUGACGCUUCGAAGUGGUACAGUGGAGAAGUGUUUGAGUGUAUUGUGCAACUCAAAUCUCAGCAAGAUCCCAUUAAAAGGCAAAUUCAAGUAAACAAUAGAGGCUUAAAGCAAAAACCUACCUUGUAUAUACUGCCCCCAUCAGAGGCUGAAAUACGGGAAAAAGGAUCUGCCACUCUCGUGUGCCUGGUGACUGGGUUUUUUCCUGAAAAUAUUUAUAUCAUGUGGGGAGAAAAUGGAAACUUGAAAGAAGAAGGCAUCACAAGUCGCCCUGUAAAGAACAAUGGCCUGUACUCAGCCAUGAGCUACCUGACCAUUGCUAAAGAUCAGUGGGAGAAAAAUGAAUAUUUAUGUGCAGUGAAACAUCCUUCACUGGGAGAUAACAAAACAGCCCCCCGGAUGAAAACUAUCAAGAAAGAAGAUGUGCAUGGUCUGUGGUUUCUGGACUGCGGAGACGCCAAUCCUGAUGACAGCGAGGGUAGCGCAUGGACAACAGCCUUGUGGUUCAUCUUCCUCUUCCUCUUCAACUUCCUGUACAGCGCCAUCCUCACCAUGUCCAAGGUGAAGUAAGACUCCCUCCUCUCUGGAUUCCCCCGGCACUGGCAUUUAUGAGUCACCUGAUCUGCAGGAGCUAAAACGCAUAUUUUCUCAACCAGCACUGCUGACAUAAUACGUCUGUUGCAUUAUUUUUAUGCCAUGGGUAGGGUUUUAUUUAUAGGUGCUUCAAGAAUCCUUUAAAAGGAAGCAAUUAACUGACAGAUAACAAUGACAAGCCAGUCACACAAAGCUGUAUCUAAUCACCUAAUGGAAAUUAAGUCUUUAUAGCAAAGAGAAACACCUCGGUGUGCAUUUUUCUCAAGCAUCUCUACUCCAGCUCAUCUCCAACUUGCAGCUGCCCCUGGGCUCACUCAAGGCCGGGAGCCUACCCAUUAACCAAGAGGGUUAAGCCAAACCUAUUCCACCAAUUGUAUUCCAAACAGGCACAAAGCAUUCAGUCACUGGAUGUCAUUGUCCCGAGAGGAAUGCUUUUAUCAGUGAAUGGGUAAAACAUUUCCUAUGUAUUCAUCUUUUCAGGAGAAUGAAUCUUUUCAAAAGCACCCUGUUGGCUAUUAAAUUAGAUUAAACAAAUUUA